UUUUGUUUAUUUUCUACGUUUUGAAUAGAGUCAGCUAUUACUCAAAUUUAAAAAAAUUAAAGUUGAAAGUGAUAUUUCACAAAAUAAAUUUGAAAUCCACAUUUUUACAUCUAUAAAGUUUUUAUUUUUCCCUCUUGAAUCAUUAGAUUCUUUUUUUAAAUAAUAAAAACACCUUCAGCAUUUUUGCCUCAAUCUUGCUCACACGGUGAAUGUUGAAUAAUUAAUUUCUUUGCACAUUUUGGUUAGUGUUGACGGCUUGAGUUACUUGGUGACGAACUGCUCUUUCAUUCCUUGUUUUAGCCCCUUUAACACAGAUGACAGGAGUGUGUUUGUAACUGCAGAGACCGUCAGACCGUGCACAUGGAUAGAGAUUCAGAAGAAUCAGAAGAGGAUGUUCAAGAAGAGGGCAAAGCCUCUGUUUUAUGGGAGAGAUGUUUUGAGCAGAGCAUCUUUGUAGACCUCAGUGAGGAUGAAAGCAUCCACCUCAGUGAUCUGGACAAUUCUUUGGCUUUGCAUGUGUCUCGAGCAGAGUCUGCACCCUCUGAAAACAGCAUCCAUCUCAGUGGAAGUGCAGAGUUGUCAGCGUUGGAUGACUCCCCAUCGGAGAGCAGUCGAUCUAACAGUAACUGUGAGAAUGUGACUGAGGGUAAAACAGGGAGCAGUAAGUUGCCAAUGUCUCCUCAGAGACCAAACACCUUACAGAAUGAGUUUCCCCAAAAGCCUGGGUGUGGGGAAUCAGGAGGAAAUACCAGUGAUGAGGAUCAGGAGGACUUACCGUAUGAUGGUGACGUUGGAAGCCCGUACUUCAACCAGACAACUAGCUCAGAAGAAAAUUCGGACGGAGGGAACACCGUUCAUGGAAGUCCUGAUCCUCCGGCUCCACUGGAAUCGUUCCACAAAGACGCCAACACAGAUGAAGAAAAACCCUCUGCAGCUUCUGAGGCAACUGGGUUGGCUAAUCCUUGUUCAGAUCUGACAAACAUCAACCAUUUGCUGCUCCAGCAUUUUUCCCAGGAAGAGUUAUUGGGAUCCGGAAGGCUGAUUGAAGCAGAAACGCUGCCAGAAGUGUCCCUACUGGAGAGCGUGGACGACACUGUUGUCAGCUUCUCAGCCUACAACCAUGCAGAAAACUUAAGGAAGCAAACAGAAAGCUUUGAGGAAAGAAGUGAUUCCAAAUCAAACAAUGAAAGCUCAGAGGUAAAGACAGAAAAGGAAAUUGAUCAUCCAACAUCUAAUGCUUCUGCAAGUUCAAACCAGAGCAUUCAGAACACGAAUGCAGAUCUGUUGGAGCUUGAUGAUAAGAAAGAGGAUGUGCGAAUUCAAACAGUUCCUCUUUUGCGGACCAGAUCUCUUGGCGAGAUUAAAUAUGGUCAAGGCAAGGUUCAUUAUCGUCUUCCUGAUUUUUCCAAAGUGCCUUCUAAAGUAAAAAUCCCCAAAGCUCCAAGUGGUCCAGUGAAGCCUGUCCCUCCCCACUCUGACAGUGUACCCAGAGCCCAGUCUUCUCCUGACAUCUUAGAUGUGAUCAGCAGAGUCCUGGAGGACUUUGUCCAUCCUUCAGAGAAGCCCUACGUCUUCAACGCCAACGACAGACAGACUCCGUCAGUACCGCUGCAUCAUCUGCAGGUGGUUUUCGUAGAUUUAAAAGUUAGUGGAAACUGUUUCACAAGCAUUUUUAAUCAUUUGUGUAUAUAUUUUUUAGGAUCACUAUGACAAAUUACUAACCGACUAUACAACAGGAGAGAAUCAGAAAGACACAAUCAGGCACGGAACCAAAGUAAGUAAUAAAAACUAAGUUAUUAUGAGCCAUUAAAUGCAUAAUUCUAAAUAUGGGAUAAGGACAGAUUAAUCUUUUUUCACAGACCCAGAUGUUGUUGUCGGACCAUGAGCGAAACAGACUUUAUGAUAAAGACAAAAAGGAGGAGGUUGAGUGUGUUGAAAAUGGUCUUUUGCAGAGCUCGACUCCUCAUCUUCCAACAACAGGUAUACAAAUAUAAUUUUCUGGCACCUAGUUUUGUAGCCACUUUCUUUCAUUUGAUUCUUUUUAUGUGGUACGGUCCAAAUCUGACCUUUUUUUUGUUAAGAUCACUUAACUCACAUUUGCAGCUUUUUUAUUGAGAUUUAAAAGAUUUAAAAUGACCAUUGAUGAGUAAAGAAAGCCCAAUGACAGCAGAAACUUAAAAAAAGUUUUUUUCCCCUUGUCAGCAGUAGAUUUAAAGUGAAUUUAACACAAUAUUUUAAGUUUAGGUGUCUGAAAACAAGAAAAGUAAUUAAAAAGACAUUGCUUUGAUACACACAUUCAUUAUGCAAAAGUGCAAACUGACUUAUUUGUUGUGUAUCUGCUGUAUAAAGAUAAACAAAAGUUUCCAUAAAUUCAUCAUUUUAGAAAUAUUAUUAUUUCAAAAGAGAUUCAGCUAAAAUGGGUUUAAAAGUUUGCUGCAAAAUUCAACUUUUAGGUUUCCUGUUAAUAAUGGAUGAUGCAGGGGUAGAAUUGUUAACCUCUGAUCAGAAGAUCUCAGGUUCAGUUCCCACCUUACCUGCCCAUGAGUCAAAGUGUCCUUGGGCAAAAAGCUGAACCCUACAUUGAUCCUGGUGGUCAUAGGUUGGACUUUUGUAAGGCCCUGUGUGGGAACGUGUGUGUGUGCAUACAUGGGUAAAUGGGACUGUGACCGUAAAGCUCUUUGGACCUUCAAGGAAGGUAGAAAAGCACUAAUUAAAUAAACGCCAUAUACCAUAUGUUGAGGAUUUUUAAAAUAAAACAAAAUAUUUGUAGAUUUUUUGUCCAAUUCUGUCUUGGGACAAGAAAGCAAUCUAAAUAAAGAUAAAAACAUUUCCAUAAGAAAAUGAUAAAACAAGAACAGAGAUCUUAAACACAUCCUUUUUUACAGAAAUAUAGACAGGAUGCUGCUGUUAAUGGCUUAUUUCAUUUCCUUUUUUCAGUACCAACAUUUACAGUAAAGGAGAUGUUACAAUUUAGCAUUUUCUUGUUAUAGAAAACCUCUGUGAACAAACAGGAGAAAAAACUGAAAACAUCAAGGAGGGGGACUCGCUUUUGUCAAAGCAGCAUGAAGAUGUUCAGAGUGACGGCGAGAGAAUGACUGCUGAGCUGAGAGACAUCAUCAGCCAGUUCAUGCAUAAGGUGUUGGCCCUUUUACCACUCUCCUUGUAAACCAUUCACUCUUUUUUAUCUAAAGAAUAAAUAAAUACCAUAAUUCAUUGUAAUUUUUUUUCAGACGGACGAGUUCAAAUUUAGCGUUACCAACAUGACUGUGAGCACAGAUGAACAGCAAAUGGUAUACACCUUUCACUCUUCAAAACAAAAAAGACAUUUUUCCAGACCCUCUGCAUACGCGUUUACCGGUAUGUUAAACCUGUCUUUUGUAAGAUUUUGAGGAGCAUGAUGGAGGCUCAGGACCAUCUGGAGCGCAAAUACAUGAGUAAGAAAGAAGAGCAUAGAGCUCUGGAGAUGCAGAACUACAUGGGUCUGUCCAGGAACACGGGCACCUUUGACCCAAACAGGUAUGAAGAGCGUCACUCCAAUGAUAGCCCCCCCUGCAAUGUGUUUGAACAUCUAUCCAUGCGUGUGCAGGCAGCUGGAGGGAGACAUAUUCAGGAUCGGGAUGCACCUCGAGGACAUCAAGGAAAUGAUUGACAAGAAUGUGUACGAGCAGAUUUCUCUACCCCACUCAUCCUCCACCUCCACCCCCAUAACAGCCCAAAUGAAGACUGUUCCAUUUUGCACACCAUCAUCCCCUCCACACCCGCAUCAGGUAACACACUUACUGACAUACAGCUGCUGCUUUGUAGCAACACAAAGGCUUGUCAAAGUGUUUGACAUCAAAUUUUGACACAACUGACACCAACUUGUCAAAAAUAUGACAGUAUAAACACAAUUUCCUAAAAACACC
Molecule: long non-coding RNA, 3905 nt
Organism: Oryzias sinensis (Chinese medaka)
Lineage: Eukaryota; Metazoa; Chordata; Actinopteri; Beloniformes; Adrianichthyidae
Source: Ensembl